Molecule: long non-coding RNA, 1015 nt
Filed under: Takifugu rubripes (torafugu)
Lineage: Eukaryota; Metazoa; Chordata; Actinopteri; Tetraodontiformes; Tetraodontidae
Description: lncRNA (ENSTRUG00000026847.1)
Source: RNAcentral
GUCUAAAUGUGAUUUGCCGUGCCCUGUUAAAUAGCUGUUGGACUUCCACCUCCAGGCAUGUGGUGGUGAAUCAGAUGGAAAUUGUUUGACAUAGCACCUUUGACUGCUUUACCAACCAAUAACUUCUCACAGCUUAGACCCCAAAAGAGGUGACAAGGACAAAUUGUUAUUACAGAUCAUUAAAUCAACACCUGGUACCCAUUUGCAGUUGAUUUUAGCCAACUCUGAUUUUUGUCAAGCUCCAACAGGAUGUGGCACAUUUGUCUAUUCACCUGCUUUUUCCUGCUCUUUGUGUUCUGUGUGUCCCUUGUCCGUGUAGGCUGGACGUGGAUGGAGACUGUUCUAAUUUUCCAACCACUCCAAUGAUCUUGACCUUCUGUCCUGUCGCACCUGUGCCUCUUCAACUCAUUACACCCCAGCAGUUUUGGAGUGUGGUUCACAGUUCCCAUCAUCUUGGGAUCCAGAUGAGCAAACACAACUCCGUGGAAGCGGUGACCUUUUUACAGCGAACAGGCGUUAUCGCCCUGCACAGUGCUCAGAGCGGCUCUCCCAGACGCCUUAAUGAAGGUCGGCGGGCUGCCUCAACACUCUUCGUAGCUUCCACUGGGCUCAGCCCAAUACCCUCUCCACUCCUCCUCAACCCUCAGAGUACUCCCUACUUCCUGCAGCGCAUCGCCCCAUCGCGUUAAUCUGAGCUGCUCUCUGGAGACAAUGUGAUGCUAAUAAGUCUGGAAACUUUAAAAUGCAUGGGAAGGGUUUUUUAAUGUUAUUUCAGCUUUCACUUUUCAUUUCUGUUUGGAAAGUUAAAAGCAACCAUGUUUGCAUCCUCGCUAUGAAAUAAACAUCGAAGGAUUAAUUUUUGAGGACCAAAUUAAAGUUUAAAAUCAGAGGGGCAUUUGAAAUUGUUCCCAUCUGUGCUAUGAAAUUAGUGCCCUGGUUAUUUGAUGAAAAAAUUAGAGAUAUUGAUUAUCGGAAGGUCAAAAAGAAAGCAUCCCAUUAUAAUGUUUGGAAAAGU